Molecule: long non-coding RNA, 209 nt
Filed under: Lathyrus oleraceus (garden pea)
Lineage: Eukaryota; Viridiplantae; Streptophyta; Magnoliopsida; Fabales; Fabaceae
Description: Pisum sativum (pea) long non-coding RNA (PSAT_LNC024525)
Source: RNAcentral
UGUCUUCUCCAUGUUCAGAAGAGAAGCAACCAAUUUCUCGAUGAUGACUAUCUUGGCUCCUAGAACGUAGGAGACAAUGUAGUGAUCAUCAGAGUCUGCGAAACGCCAGAACUCCUUCACCAGAUUCGUGUACACGGGGCCAUAGAGGCAUUGAAAGUAAUUUUCCCACCCUUGCUUUUUCAGUUCUUCAGUGAGGUCGACGCCAUUGC